UACGUAGGGUCCGAGCGUUGUCCGGAAUUAUUGGGCGCAAGGGGUCGUAGGCGGUUUGUCGCGUCUGCUGUGAAAUCCCGAGGCUCAACCUCGGGUCUGCAGUGGGUACGGGCAGACUGGAGUGCGGUAGGGGAGAAUGGAAUUCCUGGUGUAGCGGUGGAAUGCGCAGAUAUCAGGAGGAACACCGAUGGCGAAGGCAGUUCUCUGGGCCGUAACUGACGCUGAGGAGCGAAAGCGUGGGGAGCGAACAGG
Molecule: ribosomal RNA, 252 nt
Filed under: uncultured bacterium
Lineage: Bacteria
Description: partial 16S ribosomal RNA
Rfam family: Bacterial small subunit ribosomal RNA
Source: RNAcentral